GUCAGCAUGGUAUAGUGGUUUGUGUGUUGGACUAUGAUUCUGGAGAGCAGGGUUCAAAUCCCUAAUCAGCUA
RNAcentral lists this transfer RNA (72 nucleotides) under Phrynosoma platyrhinos (Desert horned lizard). RNAcentral describes it as "tRNA-OTHER". Lineage: Eukaryota; Metazoa; Chordata; Lepidosauria; Squamata; Phrynosomatidae. The record is from RNAcentral.